RNAcentral lists this ribosomal RNA (497 nucleotides) under uncultured bacterium. RNAcentral describes it as "partial 16S ribosomal RNA". It matches the Rfam family "Bacterial small subunit ribosomal RNA", at positions 28 to 507 of the family's 1533-position model. The record is from RNAcentral.
GAUGAACGCUGGCGGCGUGCCUAAUACAUGCCAGUCGAGCGAACGGACGAGAAGCUUGCUUCUCUGAUGUUAGCGGCGGACGGGUGAGUAACACGUGGAUAACCUACCUAUAAGACUGGGAUAACUUCGGGAAACCGGAGCUAAUACCGGAUGAUAUUUUGAACCGCAUGGUUCAAAAGUGAAAGACGGUCUUGCUGUCACUUAUAGAUGGAUCCGCGCUGCAUUAGCUAGUUGGUAAGGUAACGGCUUACCAAGGCAACGAGGCAUAGCCGACCUGAGAGGGUGAUCGGCCACACUGGAACUGAAACACGGUCAAGACUCCUACGGGAGGCAGCAGUAGGGAAUCUUCCGCAAUGGGCGAAAGCCUGACGGAGCAACGCCGCGUGAGUGAUGAAGGUCUUCGGAUCGUAAAACUCUGUUAUUAGGGAAGAACAUAUGUGUAAGUAACUGUGCACAUCUUGACGGUACCUAAUCAGAAAGCCACGGCUAACUACGUG